CCAUACCCCAUCAAAGCUCAGUUCCACCCCUGCCAGUGGGAAUUGGAGUUGACAAGCGGCACAGAUUAUAUAAUUGGUUUCUGAUUGCGGAUAUGUUUGCCACAUGAGGAAAUGGAGAAGAAGCGCAGGUCUUCAUCUGGCUCGAGAGAAGGAUCUGGGUGGCCGAUAAAGGAGGCAGCUUGUCCAACAUGUACAGUGCUAUUGCAGGUUCAGGUUCCAAUCUCAGGAUAAGAGACCAUUGAGUGCGGGGUUUGCCAAAAUCCUUUCCUUGUUAGCUCUUGCAUUGAUCAUCUUUACCCGCUGUUCUUUGGUUCCUUUGAUACAUCUUGCUCAUGUUUAG
Raphanus sativus (radish) is the source of this 340-nucleotide long non-coding RNA. RefSeq lists it as uncharacterized. Lineage: Eukaryota; Viridiplantae; Streptophyta; Magnoliopsida; Brassicales; Brassicaceae. The record is from RefSeq and is a predicted model, not a curated record. The transcript is spliced from 3 exons.